AAAUCAAAUAAGCUUGAUAUCGCUCUCACUCUCUCAGGUGGAAGCACUCUUCAAUUCAUUCCCUUUUACAAUACUCCACUUGAUUGCAAGAAAAGAAUGUUGUCAUUGUUCUCUUCCUCAGCAAUCAAAUUAAGGUAUGCUUUUCAAUUCCCAAAUUCUGUUUCCCACUCCGCUCUCCGUCUUUGCUUCCCUUCAACUUCAUCCCUACACUCUCCCUCUCACUCUCAGCCCCAAUCACUUGAUGAAGCUGUUGAUUCCUUCACUCGCAUGCUCUCUAUGCGUCGCCCUCCGUCCAUCUUCCAAUUCACCAAGAUUUUGGGAUCUCUUGCCAAGACCAACCAUUUUCCCACCGCCAUUUCCCUUUUUCAGCAAUUGCAAGCCAGGGGAAUUGCUCCCAACUUAUUUACUUUGAAUAUCUUAAUCAAUUGUUGCUGUGGCAUGGGUCGUAUGACGCUUGCUUUCUCUGUAUUGGCCAAGAUUUUUAGGAUGGGUUUUCAACCUAAUGCCGUAACGUUGACAACAAUCCUGAAAGGCCUCUGUCUUUCUGGUAAUGUUGAAAAAGCACUGCACUUUCAUGCCACAAUGCUGGCUCAUGGAUUUCAGUUUAAUCAAGUCACUUAUGGGACCUUGAUUAAUGGACUCUGUAAGACCGGACACACAUCUGCUGCUAUUCAAGUUUUGAGAAAGAUCCCACAGUAUGGAAUUGUUCCUGAUGUCGUAAUGUACAGCGCAAUUAUUGAUAGCCUCUGCAAGGUUGCGCUUGUAAGUGAUGCUUUUCAUUUAUAUUCUGAAAUGCUUGCUAAGGGAAUUUCUCCCAAUGUUAUCACUUACAACACUCUAAUUUAUGGAUUGUGCCUUGCGGGUCAACUCAAGGAAGCCGUUCUUUUGCUAAAUGAUAUGAUUCUCAUAAACAUUACUCCUGAUGUUUAUACUUAUAAUACUUUGAUCGAUGGGCUAUGCAAGGAAGGAAAGAUCAAAGAUGCUAAGAAUGUGUUGGGCUUGAUGACAAAACAUGGUGUGAAACCAAAUGUGGUCACUUAUAACAGCUUAAUGGAUGGGCAUUGUCUGGUUAAUGAGGUAAAUAAGGCAAAAUUUGUAUUCAACACUAUGGCCCAAAGCAGAGUGUCACUUAAUGUUCGAAGUUACAGUAUCAUGAUUAAUGGCUUGUGCAAAAGUAAAAUGGUCGAUGAAGCCUUGAAUCUCUUUGAAGAAAUGCGUCGUAAGUACUUGGUUCCAAACACGGUAACUUACAACACUCUAAUUGAUGGCUUGGGAAAAUCAGGGAGAAUCCUUUGUGCCUUUGAGCUUCUUGAAAAGAUGCAUGAUCGAGGUCAACUUGCUAAUAUAGUCACUUACAGUUCUUUGCUGGAUGCUUUGUUCAAUAUCAAACAACAUGACAAGGCACUUAUGUUAUUCAAUCAAAUGAAAGAGAGUGGCAUUGAUCCAGAUAUAUAUACAUACAGCAUACUUCUAGAUGGCCUGUGCAAAAGUGGAAGACUUCAAAAUGCAAAAGAGAUAUUUCAAGAUCUUUUCAUUAAAGGCUAUCGUCCAAAUGUGCGGACAUACACCAUUAUGAUCAAUGGGCUUUGCAAAGAGGGUCUGCUUCACGAAGCAUUGGCACUCAUGACAAAAAUGGAAGACAAUGGUUGCUUACCAGAUGCUGUGACUUAUGAAACAAUCAUUCGUGCUCUUUUUGGAAACGGUGAAAAUGAUAAAGCGGAGAAACUUCUUCGUGAAAUGAUAUCUAGAGGCCUAUUGCAAGGAUAAAAGUUGGGGAAUCACGUGUUAAUAGUGAAGCUUUCCUGCACUCUUAUUGUCUUUCAAUCUUUUCAUUUCCCCCACAUUUAAGUUAUACAUGAGGCAUAAUGUACCAAAACAAUUAACAUGACAAAGAAGAACAAAGGAAAGAAGGGGCAGAACAAUUGCUCUCCCCAAGCCCCAGCUAGGAAGGGUUGCACAUCAGCCAGGGGGAUAAUCAUGGACGACCCGCUUAGCAGUUUCGUCGACAAAGGGCAGCCAUCCUGGCAAGUAGAAGGAGAUAGUCAAUAGCAGUCAAACGGACCUGUGGAACUGCGAUUCAAACUUCAAAGUUUAAGGAUUUUGAUCAAACACCAGCCUCUUGUGCAAUCUCCAAGCACCCCAAAGAGUAGCAAGAAACAUUUGCACAUGUUAAUGCUCACAAAAGUUGGAACACUUCAUCAUCAAUUGCAUGUUCCCAUAUAGUCAUGUUAAGAAAAAUAAUAUGAUCAAUCUGAUUUUAAUGAAGUUUAUUCACUUCUUUUUGUCAUACUGAUCUUACAAAGACAAGUUGUAUGCACAUAUUAUGUUACAAGAUUAAUAAUGGCCUAUUAGAUUUUAUCA
Non-coding RNA from Arachis ipaensis, 2361 nucleotides. NCBI's taxonomy places the organism in Eukaryota, Viridiplantae, Streptophyta, Magnoliopsida, Fabales, Fabaceae. The record is from RefSeq and is a predicted model, not a curated record.